Molecule: long non-coding RNA, 3094 nt
Organism: Triticum aestivum (bread wheat)
Lineage: Eukaryota; Viridiplantae; Streptophyta; Magnoliopsida; Poales; Poaceae
Exons: 7
Source: RefSeq, a predicted model, not a curated record
CCAGCGAAAAAAGACCUACGAAAAAAGAACUACGAAAGAAAAAACAACGACAAAAAAUCAGGCGACUCGCACGAGCGAGGCCUCUAGAUCCCGUCACCACCGCCCGACGCCGCCAGCCCCGUCCUCCUCCCUGGCUCCCGGCGCCGCCCGGCCCCAUCUCCUCUUGCGAUCCUGGCGUCGCCCCGCCCCACCUUCUCCCUCACUCCCAGCGCUACCUAUCGAUCCCCUCAACGACACAGAGCCGCCGUCCUCUCAUGCGAUCUCACUGCCGCCACCCUCCGAUCCGCUCCUCCUCUCCCGAGGAUACGCAGCCGCAUCCGCCGAUGCCGAUCCGGGCAGGCGCGGCCGUCGUGGAUCACGAGGAUCCGGAUGAUGGGGCGGCAGAGAUGGCCACGGAUCUGUUACGGCGACGACGGCGCCUGAUCCGCACCCGCAGCAUCCGGAUGGAGGUCGGCGACAAACCCUAGCCUAGACGUCAGCAUCGGGAUCCAACCCCUGCUCUCGGUGCUGGGGCUAGGCAUAUGGGGGUGCUUGCUGCCGCGGUGGACCUCGACGCCGGCGACAUCUGCAGCAUCUCCCUCCCGUCGGGCUGCAGGACCUGUAUGCCCAAGUGGUAGUGAUGGAUCUAGUAUGAGCAUAAACUGGCGAAUAAUCCAGCGGUCGGAUGAGGAUAAAUGUGCGGCUACAAACUCUGGUCCUCGCCGGCGUCGUGGUCGGAGGCCACGUUGACCCUACCUCUGCAUCUAGCGGUGCCGGGUUCUUCCCGUUGCUGCACCACCUCGCGGCCUAGGGAGACCAGGCGCUGGCGUGACCCCACUCCCGCUGCUGUUUUGUCUCUUCAGAUAAUCCAUAUCAGGUUAGUUCCAUGCUGCUUCGCUCGACGGCAGUUAUCCUUCUGGCUUGCUCUCUCGUGGGAAGUAGCAUGUGGCUCUGUUAAUUUAUCAGAAGCCCGACACGAAGGAUGAGCAUGUGAGGAUUAAGGAUGCAGGAGGCAAGGUCAUCCGAUGUAAUGGUUACCGAGUGUAUGAAAUACUUGUCAAAUGUGGCUCAGUGAUAGAAUUAAGAAUGAAGGAGGAAGAUACCAGCACAAUCCCCAGCAAUAAAGACUGCGGCAAGGGCGACGACAGUGUGUCUCGGCGAGCGUGAGCAAUGGCAGCAUCAUCUCCGACUCCGAGUACCUGACCAAGACGCUGUCCAGGUCACACGUCGAGGACUUCCUCCUGGACGAUGCCGCCUCCUUGGUUGUUGUUGUCGUCUCCUCAAAUAAGUCGUAUCAGCGCAUUUAGGCUCUGGUCAACAAGUGGACGGACAGGUUGUCCAUUCUUGUUGUUCUUGCGUGUCAAGAUUCUUGGCUGCAGACUUGCAGUUCUGCAGAUACACCAUGAUUGCAGCAGGUGUUGGAAGAAAUCAUCCGAUGGUCGUAACUGACGAAGGAAGUGCUUUGUAUACGGACAAGCUGGGGACGAGUUCACUAAGGAGUGGUUGACUCCCUCUCCUGUUGCUUUUUUUAUGGUUGAUAGAUGACACAACUAGAAGUGCAGCAAAUACAACUUAUAUUGUCACCUGUUCUUAGAACCUACUUGUUUGGGUGAUAAUGAAACCAAUACAAAUAUUUAUGACAUGAGCAUAUACAUAACUUAUAUUGUUUAGGACCAUGGGGUGGUUCUGACAAUUUUAUGGGAAUUUGACCAUAUGGGAAACUCAUUUUCCACUGUGUUCUUCGUUGCUGUUAUUUUUGUGUUCUCCCUGACUCCAUGUUGUUCCAAAUUUGGUGCAGGGACUAAGGUGUCACCACUCCCCUGCCUUGUUACUAAAGCAACUAAUGUUGUUUGUGGUGCUGACUUCACUAUCUAACUUUCAUCGGUUGAGGGAUCUUCCGUACUGUAUGGCCUUCCUGAAACUAUGAAACUUAAAGAUUAGCACGCUCUUUUUUCUUUCAGAUAAAGCAAAAGGCUUUGAUCAUCUUCUCAUGAUAAAAUGUUUAGAUAAUUAUCUGCUUUGGUUGUUAUUAGUGGGGUUUUCCUACGUCAUUUCUUUGAAGAUGUAUUUAGUUCUUCUGUGCUAUUCAGUACAUCAGACUUCCUCGGUAUGGCUAACUUGGUCAUGGAAGCGAUAAUCAGGUUGGUUGCUACAAUGUUAACACACGACACCUACUAAAUUUGCAACACUAGAGGCGGGGACUCCUAGACCUAUGCUAAUUGACUUAAUUAAUUAUUAUUAUUGUUCGUUAGGCGUCCAAACAGGCAGCUGAGCGUUGGACAUGGCCUUAUGCCUCCGAAUAAUAUGUUCAUACACCAUAAGUUCUUUGCAAUAUUCAUACACCCAAUUCAGUACUAUUUUCCAUAUUUUAACUUUACGUACAGUUUUUAUUAUCUGCUGUUAAUUAUAAGUACCAAUCAAAACUGUUAAUUAUAAGGCCAUAGCAUAGCCCUAUAUUUAUUGUGUUCAGUGACCUUUUUUAUGAAAAUCAUUGCUACGAGUCACCAUUUCAUAAUUGGUGUUCAUAUCCUAAUCCUUUUGUAUUUGCAAGAUCACUCCUUAAUGUUAAGAGGGGAGGGAUGAUUUUAAGGAUAUUUUUGUAAAAGGAGGACAUUGACAAAAACAUUGAAUACAACGGCAGUGAUAAGAUUUGUGCAUUGUUUUUUUUAACACAAACUAAUAUGUGGAUACUAGGAAUAUGGCUGAAUUAAUAAACAUUGUUACUUUCUUUUUGCAUCCAGAAUCUUUGCGUGGUAGCCUGCUUGCCGCCAAGAUAGUUAGCCCCUGAGCUCCUGAAGAAAGGACAGUUGAAGGAAAUGAAAGAAGCGAACACAAAGGAUCCUACACCAAAGGAUGAAGAGGUCGAGGAAGUGAUGGAAGGGGGUGCAUGGAGGAAGACAGGUGCAUGGUGGAAGCUGGCGUGAUGGCUGCGAAGGUCAAAGGAGAGAAGGCUAGCACUGGACUUAUUUUGGAGUCUCUUGACAGGCACAUCGCACAUCAACCUUGGGUGAUUUAAGUGAGGGUGGUUCUAUCUUUUCCGCCCUCUAAUUUCUGUCAAUGACUAAAGAUAGAUGAUUAGGGAAAAUUUUAAAAUAUUAGCAUGGAUUAUUGGCCA